UCUCCUUCCUCGACUUUCUUGCAAAUAUAUGUUCUUUGUGACAUAUUUUUCUAUUCACAGUUACGGGUUACAGAAGCGCGAGUUGCGUAUAUUUGCCAUCAUGUAAUCCACCUACCUAAAAUUAAGUCAGGGCCGUCUCUCUCUCUCUCUCUCUCUCUCUCUCUCUCUCUCUCGUCCGUUCAAUAGCAUCCUUUUGUUUUAUCUUGGGAGCAUUUUAUGCAGGCUUCAGUAACAUUUAUAUCUUACUCAACCUGUGAUAGAUCUACAAAAUCGAACAGUGGGCUAAGUGGUAUCCUCCUAAGCAGGUCACUAUCAUUCACUAUCACGCUCUCUGUCACUUGAGGAAGCUGAUAACGUUCACAGCACCGUCUCUCUACUCCACGGAUCUUUAGUAUUGUGGUCAGAGGAGUCAGCAGGCCCUCAGCUGCGCGGAGUAGUGUCUGCAGCUCUCAGCACUCAGCAUGGGCGCCUUCAACAGUGUUUCCGCGAAGUCGCCAACGGAAGACGGUGCGCGAAUUCCGAGUGCGCGAAUUCCGAAUGCGCUGUCCUCCGUGAAGAAUGAGAUGGUGUCAUCCACUGUGGAGCUGGCAAGAAGAAUGGCUGAGAGGCAGAUGGCUAUGCAGGUGGCUUCCGUUCGCGAGUUGUUGGUGUGGUUCGUCCCCUUUGUGGUAUCUUCCUAUGGAUUUCUUUACUACGGCUACCGCAAGACAAACAGCUGGGUGGUCAUGUUUCCACUCAUUCCCAUAACAUUUGGCCUUGGCUACCAGAUACACUAUGCCUAUGGCAAUAAAACCAACCAAAUCAAAGCCCUGGCCGAGAGGAUAAUGAGCAACGAAACCCACAUGAUGGCAGUACCAGAGUGGAGCACUUCAGUACCACCACCGACAGAGCGAGAGAGAACCACGCAGCAGGAACAUGGAUCAAAUGCUCCAUAGCCAACGGAACAUUCACGCCUCAUCUCUCCUUAGCUGACAUUUCAUUAACUUAAAAAUCUUCAUAGCCAUUAAUAUAUUUGCUCGAUUAAAACAUAUUUUCAUUAAACUAAGUGUAUGAACUCCCUUUACAGCACAGCAAUGAUAUUUAAAGUAUUAGUGAUUACAGCAUGUUUUUCCCCUCCUCAAAUGAAAGAUGGCAUAGCACCAACGAAGCGCUGAGUCAGGUUAAUGCGCUCACAUUCCUGCGUACAAAAUACCACUCAAUCCCUCUUGUCAGCUAUAUUCAAAUUGUGGGUUAUUCAUCUUCAUCAUCAUCAUAAACAUUUUCAUAAGUCAUCAUCACUAUCAUCAUUUAUUUCAUGUGUUAGUUCUCCUAGCUGUUUUUAACCCAUGGAUUGCUAGUGAUUUAAAGAGCAAAAAGUUAUAAAUAACAACCAUAUUUGUGAAUUUGCAAAAACCUCCUUAAUAGCUAAAUUACUUGAAUAUAGUUAGCAAAGAUGAAGGCAACAAAUCUGUGUGGCAGGAGCACCAGUUUGCUCUGCCACAUUCCUAUUGGUUUGGUCACCAGCACCUCCAUGACUAAUUCCUUGCAGUGACAACCCUUGUGUUCUCCACUAAUGAGGUUAUUCCAUCCAUUGUCCACCUUAGUUAUGCAUAUGCAUUUGGAAUUCCAGGUAACUAAAUAUGCAUAUACACUCAGUCAUAAAGGGGCACCAGGGAACCUGUCACAUGUCUUGAUCUGAAGGCAUUACACUAGAAACAUCACAGAGAUAAUACAAGAUACAAGUAAUGUGUUAACACCUAAGAUUCAAUACUAAAAAUACAGUAAGUAGUGCAGGGAGCAGUUAAGCAGCUUUGACAGACUAUGCAAACCAUGCAAGUGCAAGGGCCCGUCCUCACACCCCUGAGAGAAGGUGUGAAACAUCUGGUAUAGAAUGAAAGAAAUGGCAGGACAAUUACAUUGAAUUUAUUACCACACCCCAGAAAACAAAAUAAAUUUAGUACGUA
Eriocheir sinensis (Chinese mitten crab) is the source of this 1943-nucleotide long non-coding RNA. RefSeq lists it as uncharacterized. The record is from RefSeq and is a predicted model, not a curated record. The transcript is spliced from 3 exons. NCBI's taxonomy places the organism in Eukaryota, Metazoa, Arthropoda, Malacostraca, Decapoda, Varunidae.